Molecule: ribosomal RNA, 728 nt
Filed under: Streptomyces sp.
Lineage: Bacteria; Bacillati; Actinomycetota; Actinomycetes; Kitasatosporales; Streptomycetaceae
Description: bacterial SSU rRNA
Rfam family: Bacterial small subunit ribosomal RNA
Source: RNAcentral
UCUGGGACAAGCCCUGGAAACGGGGUCUAAUACCGGAUAACACUUCCACUCUCCUGGGUGGAGGUUAAAAGCUCCGGCGGUGAAGGAUGAGCCCGCGGCCUAUCAGCUUGUUGGUGAGGUAAUGGCUCACCAAGGCGACGACGGGUAGCCGGCCUGAGAGGGCGACCGGCCACACUGGGACUGAGACACGGCCCAGACUCCUACGGGAGGCAGCAGUGGGGAAUAUUGCACAAUGGGCGAAAGCCUGAUGCAGCGACGCCGCGUGAGGGAUGACGGCCUUCGGGUUGUAAACCUCUUUCAGCAGGGAAGAAGCGAAAGUGACGGUACCUGCAGAAGAAGCGCCGGCUAACUACGUGCCAGCAGCCGCGGUAAUACGUAGGGCGCAAGCGUUGUCCGGAAUUAUUGGGCGUAAAGAGCUCGUAGGCGGCUUGUCACGUCGGGUGUGAAAGCCCGGGGCUUAACCCCGGGUCUGCAUUCGAUACGGGCUAGCUAGAGUGUGGUAGGGGAGAUCGGAAUUCCUGGUGUAGCGGUGAAAUGCGCAGAUAUCAGGAGGAACACCGGUGGCGAAGGCGGAUCUCUGGGCCAUUACUGACGCUGAGGAGCGAAAGCGUGGGGGAGCGAACAGGAUUAGAUACCCUGGUAGUCCACGCCGUAAACGGUGGGAACUAGGUGUUGGCGACAUUCCACGUCGUCGGUGCCGCAGCUAACGCAUUAAGUUCCCCGCCUGG